GUUAUAUGGUCAAGUGAAGAAGCGCAUACGGUGGAUGCCUUGGCAGUCAGAGGCGAUGAAAGACGUGGUAGCCUGCGAAAAGCUUCGGGGAGUCGGCAAACAGACUUUGAUCCGGAGAUCUCUGAAUGGGGGAACCCACCUAGGAUAACCUAGGUAUCUUGUACUGAAUCCAUAGGUGCAAGAGGCGAACCAGGGGAACUGAAACAUCUAAGUACCCUGAGGAAAAGAAAUCAACCGAGAUUCCCUUAGUAGUGGCGAGCGAACGGGGAUUAGCCCUUAAGCUUCAUUGAUUUUAGCGGAACGCUCUGGAAAGUGCGGCCAUAGUGGGUGAUAGCCCCGUACGCGAAAGGAUCUUUGAAGUGAAAUCGAGUAGGACGGAGCACGAGAAACUUUGUCUGAACAUGGGGGGACCAUCCUCCAAGGCUAAAUACUACUGACUGACCGAUAGUGAACCAGUACCGUGAGGGAAAGGCGAAAAGAACCCCGGAGAGGGGAGUGAAAUAGAACCUGAAACCGUAUGCGUACAAGCAGUGGGAGCCUACUUGUUAGGUGACUGCGUACCUUUGUAUAAUGGGUCAGCGACUUAUAUUCAGUGGCAAGCUUAACCGUAUAGGGUAGGCGUAGCGAAAGCGAGUCUUAAUAGGGCGUUUAGUCGCUGGGUAUAGACCCGAAACCGGGCGAUCUAUCCAUGAGCAGGUUGAAGGUUAGGUAACACUGACUGGAGGACCGAACCCACUCCCGUUGAAAAGGUAGGGGAUGACUUGUGGAUCGGAGUGAAAGGCUAAUCAAGCUCGGAGAUAGCUGGUUCUCCUCGAAAGCUAUUUAGGUAGCGCCUCAUGUAUUCAUCUCUGGGGGUAGAGCACUGUUUCGGCUAGGGGGUCAUCCCGACUUACCAAACCGAUGCAAACUCCGAAUACCCAGAAGUGCCGAGCAUGGGAGACACACGGCGGGUGCUAACGUCCGUCGUGAAAAGGGAAACAACCCAGACCGCCAGCUAAGGUCCCAAAGUUGUGGUUAAGUGGUAAACGAUGUGGGAAGGCUUAGACAGCUAGGAGGUUGGCUUAGAAGCAGCCACCCUUUAAAGAAAGCGUAAUAGCUCACUAGUCGAGUCGGCCUGCGCGGAAGAUGUAACGGGGCUCAAACCACACACCGAAGCUGCGGGUGUCACGUAAGUGACGCGGUAGAGGAGCGUUCUGUAAGCCUGUGAAGGUGAGUUGAGAAGCUUGCUGGAGGUAUCAGAAGUGCGAAUGCUGACAUGAGUAACGACAAUGGGUGUGAAAAACACCCACGCCGAAAGACCAAGGGUUCCUGCGCAACGUUAAUCGACGCAGGGUUAGUCGGUUCCUAAGGCGAGGCUGAAAAGCGUAGUCGAUGGGAAACAGGUUAAUAUUCCUGUACUUCUGGUUACUGCGAUGGAGGGACGGAGAAGGCUAGGCCAGCUUGGCGUUGGUUGUCCAAGUUUAAGGUGGUAGGCUGAAAUCUUAGGUAAAUCCGGGGUUUCAAGGCCGAGAGCUGAUGACGAGUCGUCUUUUAGAUGACGAAGUGGUUGAUGCCAUGCUUCCAAGAAAAGCUUCUAAGCUUCAGGUAACCAGGAACCGUACCCCAAACCGACACAGGUGGUCGGGUAGAGAAUACCAAGGCGCUUGAGAGAACUCGGGUGAAGGAACUAGGCAAAAUGGCACCGUAACUUCGGGAGAAGGUGCGCCGGCUAGGGUGAAGGAUUUACUCCGUAAGCUCUGGCUGGUCGAAGAUACCAGGCCGCUGCGACUGUUUAUUAAAAACACAGCACUCUGCAAACACGAAAGUGGACGUAUAGGGUGUGACGCCUGCCCGGUGCCGGAAGGUUAAUUGAUGGGGUUAGCGCAAGCGAAGCUCUUGAUCGAAGCCCCGGUAAACGGCGGCCGUAACUAUAACGGUCCUAAGGUAGCGAAAUUCCUUGUCGGGUAAGUUCCGACCUGCACGAAUGGCGUAACGAUGGCGGCGCUGUCUCCACCCGAGACUCAGUGAAAUUGAAAUCGCUGUGAAGAUGCAGUGUAUCCGCGGCUAGACGGAAAGACCCCGUGAACCUUUACUGUAGCUUUGCACUGGACUUUGAGCCUGCUUGUGUAGGAUAGGUGGGAGGCUUUGAAGCGUGGACGCCAGUUCGCGUGGAGCCAUCCUUGAAAUACCACCCUGGCAUGCUUGAGGUUCUAACUCUGGUCCGUGAUCCGGAUCGAGGACAGUGUAUGGUGGGCAGUUUGACUGGGGCGGUCUCCUCCUAAAGAGUAACGGAGGAGUACGAAGGUGCGCUCAGACCGGUCGGAAAUCGGUCGCAGAGUAUAAAGGCAAAAGCGCGCUUGACUGCGAGACAGACACGUCGAGCAGGUACGAAAGUAGGUCUUAGUGAUCCGGUGGUUCUGUAUGGAAGGGCCAUCGCUCAACGGAUAAAAGGUACUCCGGGGAUAACAGGCUGAUACCGCCCAAGAGUUCAUAUCGACGGCGGUGUUUGGCACCUCGAUGUCGGCUCAUCACAUCCUGGGGCUGAAGCCGGUCCCAAGGGUAUGGCUGUUCGCCAUUUAAAGUGGUACGCGAGCUGGGUUUAGAACGUCGUGAGACAGUUCGGUCCCUAUCUGCCGUGGACGUUUGAGAUUUGAGAGGGGCUGCUCCUAGUACGAGAGGACCGGAGUGGACGAACCUCUGGUGUUCCGGUUGUCACGCCAGUGGCAUUGCCGGGUAGCUAUGUUCGGAAAAGAUAACCGCUGAAAGCAUCUAAGCGGGAAACUUGCCUCAAGAUGAGAUCUCACUGGGAACUUGAUUCCCCUGAAGGGCCGUCGAAGACUACGACGUUGAUAGGCUGGGUGUGUAAGCGUUGUGAGGCGUUGAGCUAACCAGUACUAAUUGCCCGUGAGGCUUGACCAUAUAACACCCAAACA
RNAcentral lists this ribosomal RNA (2912 nucleotides) under Pseudomonas aeruginosa. RNAcentral's name for it is "23S ribosomal RNA". It matches the Rfam family "Bacterial large subunit ribosomal RNA". The record is from RNAcentral. Lineage: Bacteria; Pseudomonadati; Pseudomonadota; Gammaproteobacteria; Pseudomonadales; Pseudomonadaceae.